This 215-nucleotide unclassified non-coding RNA is filed under the name Hevea brasiliensis (rubber tree). The record is from RNAcentral. Lineage: Eukaryota; Viridiplantae; Streptophyta; Magnoliopsida; Malpighiales; Euphorbiaceae.
UGCUAAGCAGAAAACGAAGCGGACACCUCGGGAAUCGAAGGAAAUAAAUGCUUUGACUGAGCCGGACCAGAUACAGGAGAAGAUCGGAGUAGGAGAGAUCGGGAGAAAGGUCUGGCGUGAAGGAUCGGAAAAGGGAUCGUGUUGGAAAGAUCAGAAAAGAGGAGAGAUCGGGAAACAAGGAGAAUAAGACAACUUCCAACAACUGUCGUCAUAAU